Molecule: transfer RNA, 142 nt
Filed under: Neurospora sublineolata FGSC 5508
Lineage: Eukaryota; Fungi; Ascomycota; Sordariomycetes; Sordariales; Sordariaceae
Description: tRNA-Und (NNN) (tRNA-Und-NNN-2-1)
Rfam family: tRNA
About the family: Transfer RNA (tRNA) molecules are approximately 80 nucleotides in length.
Source: RNAcentral
GCGCGGUUGGCGUAGUGGUCUAACGCAUCACUCGAUUUGUGGGUUGAAAUCCCCGGAGAAGCUCUGUUCAAAGACCAACUCUGGGGGCAAGCUAGGUUUCAAAUACUGAGUGAAGACUCGGGUUCGAAUCCCGGACCGCGCA